GGACGAACGCUGGCGGCAUGCCUAACACAUGCAAGUCGAACGGGGGUAGCAAUACCUUAGUGGCGAAACGGGUGAGUAACACAUAAGCAAUCUGCCCUUCACAGGGGGAUAACAGCGGGAAACUGCUGCUAAUACCGCAUAAGACCACGGUACCGCAUGGUACAGGGGUAAAAACGAAUCAGUGGUGAAGGAUGAGCUUAUGUCCCAUUAGCUAGUUGGUGAGAUAACAGCCCCACCAAGGCGACGAUGGGUAGCCGACCUGAGAGGGUGAUCGGCCACACUGGAACUGAGACACGGUCCAGACUCCUACGGGAGGCAGCAGUGGGGAAUAUUGGGCAAUGGAAGGAAACUCUUACCCAGCAAUGCCGCGUGAGUGAAGAAGGUCUUCGGAUUGUAAAGCUCUUUGAUUGGGGACGAAGAAAGUGACGGUACCCAAAGAACAAGCCCCGGACUAACUACGUGCCAGCCGCCGC
Molecule: ribosomal RNA, 473 nt
Filed under: uncultured bacterium
Lineage: Bacteria
Description: bacterial SSU rRNA
Rfam family: Bacterial small subunit ribosomal RNA
Source: RNAcentral